This 656-nucleotide ribosomal RNA is filed under the name Cryocola sp. Its description in RNAcentral is "bacterial SSU rRNA". It matches the Rfam family "Bacterial small subunit ribosomal RNA", at positions 147 to 817 of the family's 1533-position model. Lineage: Bacteria; Bacillati; Actinomycetota; Actinomycetes; Micrococcales; Microbacteriaceae. The record is from RNAcentral.
CCUCCGGAAACGGAAGCUAAUACCGGAUACGAACUGCGAAGGCAUCUUCAGCAGUUGGAAAGAACUUCGGUCAAGGAUGGACUCGCGGCCUAUCAGGUAGUUGGUGAGGUAACGGCCCACCAAGCCUACGACGGGUAGCCGGCCUGAGAGGGUGACCGGCCACACUGGGACUGAGACACGGCCCAGACUCCUACGGGAGGCAGCAGUGGGGAAUAUUGCACAAUGGGCGCAAGCCUGAUGCAGCAACGCCGCGUGAGGGAUGACGGCCUUCGGGUUGUAAACCUCUUUUAGUAGGGAAGAAGCGAAAGUGACGGUACCUGCAGAAAAAGCACCGGCUAACUACGUGCCAGCAGCCGCGGUAAUACGUAGGGUGCGAGCGUUGUCCGGAAUUAUUGGGCGUAAAGAGCUCGUAGGCGGUCUGUCGCGUCUGCUGUGAAAACCCGAGGCUCAACCUCGGGCCUGCAGUGGGUACGGGCAGACUAGAGUGCGGUAGGGGAGAAUGGAAUUCCUGGUGUAGCGGUGGAAUGCGCAGAUAUCAGGAGGAACACCGAUGGCGAAGGCAGUUCUCUGGGCCGUAACUGACGCUGAGGAGCGAAAGCGUGGGGAGCGAACAGGAUUAGAUACCCUGGUAGUCCACGCCGUAAACGUUGGGCGCU